GGGGAUAUAGCUCAGUGGUAGAGCGCAUGCUUAGCGUUCAUGAGGUCCUGGGUUCCAUCCCAAGUACAUCCA
Molecule: transfer RNA, 72 nt
Filed under: Camelus bactrianus (Bactrian camel)
Lineage: Eukaryota; Metazoa; Chordata; Mammalia; Artiodactyla; Camelidae
Also listed under: 2 other names
Rfam family: tRNA
About the family: Transfer RNA (tRNA) molecules are approximately 80 nucleotides in length.
Source: Rfam by way of RNAcentral